RNAcentral lists this small RNA (100 nucleotides) under Acidihalobacter prosperus. RNAcentral describes it as "Guanidine-I sequence". It matches the Rfam family "Guanidine-I riboswitch aptamer". From Rfam's summary of the family: This family represents a conserved RNA structure found upstream of the ykkC and yxkD genes in Bacillus subtilis and related genes in other bacteria. The function of this family is unclear although it has been suggested that it may function to switch on efflux pumps and detoxification systems in response to harmful environmental molecules. Lineage: Bacteria; Pseudomonadati; Pseudomonadota; Gammaproteobacteria; Chromatiales; Ectothiorhodospiraceae. The record is from Rfam by way of RNAcentral.
UCUAAAGGCGACUAGGGUUCCGCCCGGACGACCGGGGUCUGGUCCGAGAGUCGCCGGCCCCGGCGGCGGGGCUACACGGCGGGACAAAAGCCCGGGAGAG